This 1434-nucleotide long non-coding RNA is filed under the name Taeniopygia guttata (zebra finch). RNAcentral describes it as "lncRNA (ENSTGUG00000019699.1)". Lineage: Eukaryota; Metazoa; Chordata; Aves; Passeriformes; Estrildidae. The record is from RNAcentral.
AUGGGGAUUUGGGAUGGGGAUUUGGAACCGCGGGGAUUUGGGAUGGGGAUUUGGAACCGCGGGGAUUUGGGAUGGGGAUUUGGAACCGCGGGGAUUUGGGAUGGGGAUUUGGGAUGGGGAUUUGGAACCGCGGGGAUUUGGGAUCGGCAUUUGGGAUCGGGAUCUGGGAUAGGGAAUUGGGACCGUGGGGAUUUGGGAUCGGGAUCUGGGAUCGGCAUUUUGGAUCAGCAUUUGGGACCGUGGGGAUUUGGGAUCGGGAUCGGGGAUUUGGGAUGGGGAUUUGGGACCGGGGCAGCCCCGCCCCAAAUGGGAUGGCACAAGGGGUUUGUCCCCAAAGUCCCCGUCCCGGUUUUGUGGCGGUGUCACCACCCCUGGGGGGGGGGGGAGGGGGGGGUGGGGUGGGAAUGGGGCCGGGAAUGGGGCCGGGAAUGGGGCUGGGAUCAGAGUGGGAAUAGGGUCAGAAAUGGGGCCGGGAUUGGGGUGAGAAUGGGGCCAGGAAUGGGGCCGGGAUUGGGGCCGAGAUUGGGGUGGGAAUGGGACCGGGAUUGGGGUGGGAAUGGGACCGGGAUUGGGGUGGGAAUUGGACUGGGAUUGGGGCCGGGAUUGGGGCGGGAAUGGGGCCAGGAUUGGGGCGGGAAUGGGGCCGGGAUUGGGGCCGAGAUUGGGGUGGGAAUGGGGCCGGGAUUGGGGUGGGAAUGGGGCCGGGAUUGGGGCGGAAUGGGGCCGGGAUUGGGGCCGAGAUUGGGGUGGGAAUGGGGCUGGGAUUGGGGCGGGAAUGGGGCCAGGAUUGGGGCGGGAAUGGGGCCGGGAUUGGGGCGGAAUGGGGCCGGGAUUGGGGCCGGGGAUGGGGCUGGGAUCAGAGUGGGAAUAGGCUCAGGAAUAGGGCCGGGAUUAGGGCGAGAAUGGGGCCGGGAUUGGGGCCGAGAUUGGGGUGGGAAUGGGGCCGGGAAUGGGGCUGGGAUCAGAGUGGGAAUAGGGUCAGAAAUGGGGCCGGGAUUGGGGCCGGGGAUGUCCCUCCGGGCAGGGCGGGGCUGUCGCGGCCCCACGCGGGGACACCGGGCCCAGGGCUCGGCCACCGGAACCGCCCCACGGCACCGGCAGCGCCUUCCCGGGGCCGGGAUCCCCUUCCCGAUCCCACAGCCGAUCCCAAAAUCCCCUUCCAGCCCCACAAUCCCCACCCCAAUCCCAUAUCCCAAUCCCAUAUCCCCAUCCCACAUCCCGAUCCCAAAUCCCCAUCCCAGUCCCAGAAUCCCUAUUCCAAUCCUACAUCCCCAUCCCAAUCCCACAUCCGGAUCCCAAAUCCCUAUCCCAGUCCCCAUCCCGAUCCCAAAUCCCCAUCCCAGUCCCAGAAUCCCUAUUCCAAUCCUACAUCCCCACCCCAGUCCCAGAAUCCCCAUUCCAAUCCUACAUCCCUAUCCCAAUCCCACAUCCUGA